This 492-nucleotide ribosomal RNA is filed under the name uncultured bacterium. Its description in RNAcentral is "partial 16S ribosomal RNA". It matches the Rfam family "Bacterial small subunit ribosomal RNA", at positions 29 to 507 of the family's 1533-position model. The record is from RNAcentral.
AGUGAACGCUGGCGGUAGGCCUAACACAUGCAAGUCGAACGGCAGCACAGUGAGAGCUUGCUCUUACGGGUGGCGAGUGGCGGACGGGUGAGGAAUACAUCGGAAUCUACUUUUUCGUGGGGGAUAACGUAGGGAAACUUACGCUAAUACCGCAUACGACCUACGGGUGAAAGCAGGGGAUCUUCGGACCUUGCGCGAUUGAAUGAGCCGAUGUCGGAUUAGCUAGUUGGCGGGGUAAAGGCCCACCAAGGCGACGAUCCGUAGCUGGUCUGAGAGGAUGAUCAGCCACACUGGAACUGAGACACGGUCCAGACUCCUACGGGAGGCAGCAGUGGGGAAUAUUGGACAAAGGGCGCAAGCCUGAUCCAGCCAUACCGCGUGGGUGAAGAAGGCCUUCGGGUUGUAAAGCCCUUUUGUUGGGAAAGAAAAGCAGCAGGUUAAUACCCCGCUGCUCUGACGGUACCCAAAGAAUAAGCACCGGCUAACUUCGUG